GGGGCGCUCCCUAGCCCUGGGUGGGUGGAGCGGGGGAAGCGGAGUACGUUGGACCCGGCUCCGCCCUACCCCACGGGGCCGCCUGGAGAGGUGCUGGGAGCUGGGUGGAGCUUAGAGGAAUUAAACUUUGGCCCUGCGCCUCGUCCAGCCUAGGUUCCACCCUUUUCUGGGAACGUGAGUAUCAACCAAGGCUGGAGUGCAGUGGCACCAUCUCGGCUCACUGCAACCUCUGGCUCCCAGGUUCAAGCGAUUCUCCUGCCUCAGCCCCCUGAGUAGCUGGGAUUACAGGCACGCGCCACCACUCCCAGAUCUUCACUUCAGGUCAGCUCCAAGGAGGCUAUCCUUGCCCAUCUUCCUAAAAUAGAGCUCUCAAAACCUGGCUGUUUUCCUUCAGAGCACUGGCCUCCAAUUGCUCCGGUAGAUUGCAAAUGACCUGCUUUCUUUCUGUUCCCGGGCGUUUGGACCCCUGUCUUGGACCGCUGUCGGAUAGUAAAUCCCAAGUAAGGUACCUGCCGUCGGCAGAUUUGAGCUUUCUUCUUGGACACCUAAUACCCAGAGUCCUCCAGGCUCCGGUAGAUUGCAAAUGACCUGCUUUCUUUCUGUUCCCGGGCGGCAUCGGACCCGUCGGAGAGUAAAUCCCAAGUAAGGUACCUGCCGUUGGCAGAUUUGAGCUUUCUUCUUGGACACCUAAUACCCACAGUCCUCCAGGCUCCGGUAGAUUGCAAAUGACCUGCUUUCUUUCUGUUCCCGGGUGGCAUCGACCCGUCGGAGAGUAAAUCCCAAGUAAGGUACCUGCCGUUGGCAGAUUUGAGCUUUCUUCUUGGACACCUAAUACCCACAGUCCUCCAGUAAAUCCCAAGCAAGGUACCUGCCGUCAGCAGAUUUGAGCUUUCUUCUUGGACACCUAAUACCCACAGUCCUCCAGGCUCCGGUAGAUUGCAAAUGACCUGCUUUCUUUCUGUUCCCGGGCUGCGUUCGGACCCCUGUCGGAUAGUAACUCCCAAGCUCCGGUAGAUUGCAAAUGACCUGCUUUCUUUCUGUUCCCGGGCUGCGUUCGGACCCCUGUCGGAGAGUAAAUCCGAAAAAAACAAACAAA
RNAcentral lists this long non-coding RNA (1096 nucleotides) under Homo sapiens (human). Its description in RNAcentral is "TPT1 antisense RNA 1". The record is from RNAcentral. Lineage: Eukaryota; Metazoa; Chordata; Mammalia; Primates; Hominidae.